RNAcentral lists this long non-coding RNA (8877 nucleotides) under Taeniopygia guttata (zebra finch). RNAcentral describes it as "lncRNA (ENSTGUG00000024284.1)". The record is from RNAcentral. Lineage: Eukaryota; Metazoa; Chordata; Aves; Passeriformes; Estrildidae.
ACAUGGAAGGUAUAUGAGUAAAUGGUGCAAAGCAGAAGAUAGCAUGACUGAGAACAUUUACAAAACAAUACACAUACAUAUGUAGUUUUAUGUGUGCAUACGUAUAUAUUCUGCUGAAACCUACAGAAGAAAUCACAGAGAAAUUGAACAAACAGACAAAAAAAAAAAUCAUUAAACAAACAGAACUAGAAGGCAGACCUGAGAAUUAGGAUCUAUGCAUCUUUUGGCCUUUUACAAAUCUGCUGAAUGACUGAGGACAGAAUCCCAGUAAAUGACGGUGUUACCAUGACAGCUGAUAAUCAUCUAUGUUGGCGUAUUGCAAACUCUGUGCCUGGCUCACCUAUGCCUGAUUCCACUUUUCUCUUGAAGCAUACGUAAAAAUGUUGCUGGAUAUGGUGUUUGGGGUUUUUGUUUGGGUUUUUUUUGAAAGGGUUAGUGGUGGAGGCAUCAUGAGCCUGCCUACAAACCAGGUACCAGUUCUGCUUGGCUGGCUAGGAAGAGCAUCACAGCCUGACAGUGAAAAGUCUUCUCCAGUGGAAAGCAUUUUCAUGUGCACAGGAAAAUAGGAACCUAGAUUCUUCUGAGAAUAACAUGGACACAAGGCUUCUCUUCACUAUUUGAGCAAUAAUAGCAUCAUGUGGUUAUCCUACACUUCAGCUAAAAAUCUAAAAUCCUAAAAUAAAGUGUCCUUUCAACUUCUGCUGAAGACUUAAAUUGUUUACAGUGUCAUAUACCAUUAAAAACAUCUUGUUUUGGUUUUCUGUACUCCUGAACAAGGACAUGUUGCAAUGGAUGUUUUUUUUAAAUUUCACUUGCUGAAGGUUUUCAGAUAUACAAAUGCUCGAAUGUGAAAUUGAUGAGGAUACACAGAACUGUACUGCUAACAAGUUGGUUUAUUUCCUGAGUUAUCAAAUGUCAUAGCAGAUAAUUCUAAAUUGUGCACAGCCUUACAAAUUAAACCUUGUAGCAUUGGGUCCUUUCUUAUGAUCCCCCUGAUAGUAAAAUGAUAAAAUAACAAUGUAAUGGAUUUGAUUACACAGAAGGUCUCAGUUGGAGUCCUGAUACUAAUACACAAACAUCCAUAAGCUGAGAAGAUGGUAUUGUUUUACUGCUUUUAGAGACCGUCAGAAUACAUCCCUGCUUUACUAAUGAUAAGAAAAGGGAAGAAGUUGAGGUUAAAUAUCUGGAAUACCAGAUUGUUUUGAUUAUUUGUGGUACUGCCCUUAUUUCUUUUCUCUUGGUACUUUCAGCUUGUCUUUUUGAAACAAUUGCUUAUUUUUGAGAUUUGAAGACAAAACAAAAUCUAUGGUGCACUCCUUUGCAGGUAUGUAAUCUGUUUUAAUUCAAAUUCUGUAAACAUACUAGUUCUACCAGGAUAAUCCACAGGGAAAAUCACAUAACACAUAGUAUAAUAAGAACAAUAUGUUAUAUUUUUUUUUCAAAAAAAAAUCACAAAACAACAGCUUCAUUUUUGUACCAUAGUAAUAUCAGUGAACAGCAGCUGAACAAGUGACAAAACCAAAAAGAAAACAACCCCAAACUUAUCAAUAUUCUUAUUGGUUUAAAAACUAGUAAGCUACACACAAGAGAAACUUCCAAAAGCUCAAUUUGAAAUGCAAUAUUAGAAGUCUUUAAAUAUUUUAUGAGUCCGGCAGGUUGGGACCCAAUAUUUGCUGUUUGGAUUAUAUAAAUAGACUUUCCAUUGUAAACAAACCAUUGUUUAUUGCUGCUUAGUUUCAACAUUUCCUACAGAUUUGUCCUUUCCUUUUGGAAUUUUUAAAAUUUCUUUUGAAUAAACUCCAUCGACUGUAAUUUGGAAAUUUUAAUGUUGAACAGUUACUAUGCUAUUUCAUGCUGUACCACUCACUCAAAUAGUUAAGAGGGAGGAAAAAAGAAUCAGUGAAGCAACAUGACAUAAUCAUGGAUAGCAAUCAGCUCAGCAAACCAUCUAAACUGUAAAACAGUUCUGCGGAUUUUUUUAAGGUCUUAGAAACUGUGCUGGAAAGAAAUAAAUGUAAUAAAAUAUAUUGUCAUUAAAACAGUGAGUGUUGAAUACCUUGAAAGGUAUUUUAGGUUAACUACCAUCUAUGUGAUUUGAAAAUGAAUAUAUGAGAUUAAAGAAAAGUAAAACCUUUUCCAUAAUAAUAAAAAGAAUCCUUUUCAUUGGGUCAAAAAGGGAAAUGUUUUAAUUCAAUGUUCAAAGGAAUAUUCAAUGAUCAAUAGUACAACUAAGUCUUUAAAGGGUGUAAGCUCACAUCUCUUUGAAAAAGACUUCUGAAUGUAGGAAAGGCAGUCACCAGAGUUCAGAUCAACAGGACGAAAACUCCCAGUCUGUGAAGGAAGGGGAAAGUUGUUUUCUUUAUUCAUUUCGUAUACAUUACCUUAAAGAACUUCUCUGACUGUAAUAUGUUCAUGAUACUGCUCCUUUUGCUAGUCUCCUCUCCCUUGGCUGUGUGUCUUGGGGUAAAACAACGUUUCAGUGAGGAAACAGGCUAUUCUAAGGGCUGGGCCCACCAAGGAACACAAGCAGCUGGACUCUUCCACACCCCUACUUCUGGCAGGCUAGUUCAGCAAUUAACCCUCUUUAUGACCCCCAGCUGACCUAAAUUCCCAGCCACCUUCUCUGUUAGGCAUGCUCAGAAAGAACUUGUUCUAACUAUACUGCGCAAUUUAACCACCUGCCUCCUCUCCAGGUCUUAUUGCAGGACUAGGGGAUGGGAGGAGAGGACCAAGGAAACACAGCGGGCAGAACACUUGAAAUAUAGCUGCUACCAGCAUUUGCUAGUUUACUCCUGAGGGUUCCAAAUAAGAAGCUUACUUCAGAAAAAGGAAAGAUUUAAUAUUCAAAGGAUUGUUCAGAGGAUUGAUCUCACUAGCAGUUUCAUUUCUAGGGGUGGGGUUUUUUUGGUUUUGUUUGUUUGUGUGUGUGCUUUUUUGUGUGGUUUUUUUUUUUUUUAAGGAGGUCCUCAGAGGAUGAUUAUUAUUUUUGUAUUUAUAGAGAUGUCAGGGCACAAGGACUCUGAUUUUUCAAAUUUACUUUUAAAUAUGUUCAUCAUGCUCCUUUAAAUAUAUUCUGUUAUGGAGCUCUGUGAAAGCCCAAAUCAAUGGUAUUUAUUUACAGUAGCUGAAGCUCUGCCUCAGUGAGUACUCCCUAGUGCAAUUUCCUUCAAAGCUGAGAUGCUCAAUAGGAGUUAAUCCUCUGAACAGCUUUGUAAGUCUUACACUAAGGGCUACUUCCAAAACCAGCUUUUCUGUCUACAAGAUAGGUGCUAAAAUGUUCUUUUAGGCUGCAGACCCUAGGAGUAGAAGCUGCCUGCCAAGUUCUCAGACUGUAUUGUUCAAGGUGUAAGCAAGACAACAUAAAAGACAUUUCCAAAACACACACAUUCCUGGAGAACCGUGUUGGGCUAGGGAUAAGACAUACUGUCACAGCUGUGUCUUGCUGAGAUGUGGUGUCAGGGUAUGUGUGGGCUCAGGGUGACCACUGCUCCUGUGAUAUCUCAGGCAAAAGAUAGAGAGGCUAGAGACCCACAGCUUCCAAACAUUAAACUGGACCAGGCUUUUCACUGCCACAUGAAAUGCUGGUUCAUCCAGUGUCAUACCUGCCAAAUCACUCAGGUAAUGGGAGACCCCUCCCAGUUCUCUCCCAGCCUGCAUUAAGACAGGUAAGCAUGCUCUCUCCCCUGCCCUUUGAAGGUGGGCUCCUGCACAGCAACAGCUCAUAUUUCUAGGAUGAAGAAGAGCCUGCAGGGCUUGGUAGGACUCUCUUCCACCAAGAGGUUCCUUGUCUCUGCUUUUGUUCAUACCUUUUUUGUUGCUGCUCUUUUCAAGUCAAUGCAUUGAGAGUUAUGAGAAGAGGAUGAGCCAUGGGAACCACAGGAUAACCGAGUGAUGAGUUUGCCAACGUGUCCUUUAAAGCAGGGAAGCCUCAGGAAUACUGAGAUAGCCUCAGCUGUGUGUGCUCAGAUACUACUGGGGCAGGCUGCCACCAUGCCACAGGACUGACUACUGCCACUGCUCUGACUAAUUUCUUGGCCCUGGUUAAGCCUGAUUCAUUAAACUGUAGAUUUACCUUACUAUCUGUGCUAUAGUCUUACAGUUAUAUAUCUCUACAUAUAACUUAGGAUAUAAUGUUUGAGCUAAACGUAGAAAUACUAAAGGAAAUGCACAAAGCUAUCUAACACAAGUUUCAAAAGAUUAUUUCCACACUAUCCACAUUGUUAGCCUGUAUAGCUAGAUAAAAUAAUUAAUAUUAAUUACUGCCAUGGCUGACAUAUUUCUUCUAAUCUUAUGCUUACUUAUAAAGACAACUUUGCAGUUUUAGAAAAAAAGCAUCUCAGUGGUUCCAAAGGGUAUUUAACACCUGUCUUAACAGUUUAUUCAAUUAGAUUGUUACACUAAGCAAUUAAUUUGUAGCAUUAACCAAUAUUUAUUAUUUUCUUUGAAAUGUCUAUAAUUUACCCAACAACAGUAGAUUGGGAGGAACCUCCCUACAGAACUCUGUCAGAAUAUUUUGAAAUUAGAAGAAAAAAAGGUUGAGCUCCUCUGUAUGUAUUUUUAUGGAUCAUAAAGGAAGAUAUUGCCCAGAAUUCAAUGAGCUGUGAAACAUUCUAAAUCAUACUUUUGACAAUACCUGGCUGCAGUGAGUUCCACAAAGUUGUGUGAUAACACUGGUGGUACAUUGUGCAAAUUACUGUUUUUUUAUACUGCAUAAUGAGUGUUAGGCAGACUGGUUCUUGGUUCUUCCAGCCAAGUUAGGGAAAAUGAGCCCAUCAUGCUUUGUACAGAGUAAUGUAGAGCUGUGAAUCAAACUGAACACAUGACAUUGUUUCCAGUUUCUGAUGAAGGAGAAGAAGAAGUUGAAUACUAUGGGAAAGUGUUUUGUGCUCAACAUGGCCCACUGCUGUGUGCUUAAGUGUUUGCCAAUUUCUCCUAAUCUUUUUAAAGAUUACAGAAUGGUUUAUUUUUGUUGAUUUCUUGCCACAUUUUUCACCUCCUUUCAUAAAUUUCUCUACAUUUCUAUAAUGAUGAUUUUCAAAGAAAUAAAAGGUUAGCAUGUAUCAUUCUUUGGUAAGAAGUCAUAACACUUAUUUUCCCAUGUAUUUUCUGUUUUUCCUUGCAACCAUCUCAAAUCAGAACAAUUUCAAAAAAGCAGUUCUGGAUAUCUCCUGUCACAGCCUGUCAUCUAUGGAAACUCAGGAAAUAUUACAAUUAACAUCCACAAGGAAAAUUUUAUUUUAUAUAAUUUAUUCUAAGUAUAUGAGCAGUGAUGAGAAUAAAAAUUUAACUGAAACCCUUAUUUUGGUUAUUGGUAUGGAAUGGCCAAACCAGACAAUUAAUUUUGUGCUAUUUUCUAUGCCCACUCUGACUUGCUAUCAUACAAUUUUUAGAAAAGACUGAAAAUGAUGUGUCAGCUGAUUAAAAAUUAACUUCAUUUAUGUCAAAUAUUCUUAUAGGAAAAAAUCUACUGUAAAAUAUAUUAAUGUACUUGAAAAUCUCAGGAUUGUAAGAGAACAUAGUAAAUCUGUUGAACCUCAUGAAGAUCUCUGUAUCAAAGCAACAAAUAAACCCAAUGAAAUUAAUUCUUUGAAACUUCAAAUGUGAUUUUUAAAAAUAUUAACUUCUUCCUAUUUGAGAACCUAUUCCUUUUUGAGCUUGCAUUCAGUUUAAAAGGAAAUAUUGUCUCCAUUACAGCUAGCAAUAUUCAUAACAAUAUGUACAUUGUCAAAUGCUUAAAUUCUAUUUAAUCAUACUUAAACCUCAGUUACUUUCAUAUGUGUUUUAAUUGUGUCUGUAAAAAUCUGUCAAGUUGCAUAAACUUAUAAAAAUCUUUGCAAAGUGAACCUUCCAUUUUCUUUAAUAGCACCAGUUUGCCAGCAGAUUCUAAUAUUUAGGUUUCUAAGUACAAUGAAAUUUAAAUAAUUGCUGAAUAUACAAGACCUUCACCCAUCACCUUUUACUGUCUUUUAAGGACCUGGACAGGGAGACAAACUUCUUGUUUCAACAAGGGAGUAAAUAUUCUUUGUGGUUUCUUUCAUUCCACCAUAAGCUUAUCCUUGUUUCCAAUAUACCUCACCUUUUUAUCUAAAAUAAAAAGUGAAGAGCAUUUAUUUAUACUAUCAAGUACAAACACAGCACACUUCAUGUAGUGCAAGAUGUUAUAACUGCAGAAUUCAUAUAUCCAGCCCUCUGAUUUUAAAGUUAGGUCACUACAGUGGUUUGCACAGUCAUUAUCUUCUACUUACAAAACUUAGGCAGGCAUUUUGACCAGUUCUCUGUGGUUAAAAAUGUAAAAUUCUAAUAUGUCCUCUUGUGUAAUAAGUGUGUUUGGAAAGACUCACAAGUAUUUGAAUCACGUAUGGAAAAAUGAAAUUUUCCAGUGCUGUUGGAUCUAUUCUCAUAAUCAAAGAGCAGUGUUUCACACUUUUUUCACUGUUCACUCCAUUCUGUGUGUGGAUAAAAGCCACACUUAUUCCUUUGCAGCAGGUAUAAAAAAAAAGCCAAAAUACAGAGAUAUUAAACACUAAAGCAGAGAUUAAUUGGAACUCAUUACUCAUUCCUUUUUAGUUUUUUGUAAAUAAUUCUAUAUUUCAUGCUAAAAUGCACAGCCAUUCAAGAGAGUUAUAUUUUCUAAUGGAAAACUACCCUGCAGUUUCUCGGUUACCAGAUGAAAACUAGCACAUGUAGCUGGUGAGCUAAGUCUGAGUAGAGGUUUAUAUGCUACAGGCUGAUGCUCUUUGUCAGUUCCUAGAGAUCAAAUAUCUCAAAAAACCUUACUCCUCAUAGUAUUGCCUUUUAGACUAGAAAGCUGAACAAGCAUGAAGUUAAUUCCUUUUCUGACAAAUGCAGUACAUAGAUAUGAUUAACGAUUGACCUUUUUUUCUCUUUGCCGUAAGCGGGUAAGGGUCGUCACAGAUUGCCUGCACUUAGCAACUUCUAAAUAAAUGGGUGCCUGAAGGCUGUAUUUUGUACUUAAAUUAUUGCUAUAGAGAGCACUUUAAAACACUUUUGCCCUCAGACACUCAAUUUCAACCCCUCUUCCAGCAAAGUCUUAUUAACUUGGAACAAAACUUGAUUAUAUUCUGCAUCCCAACAGGAUUUCUAUACAUGUGUUAUGGAAUGAAGUAUUUUUCCCGAAAUAUCACGGUAGACUUUUGACAAAACGAAAGAGAGCAGCUAUUGUCAAUGUCUCAACAAACUCCUUUGGUUUGUCAAUACAUUUUCAAGUUUGACUUGUAGCUUUUGUGGAACCAAAAAAGAAGAAAACAAAUGCAUCAAAACCUCCCAAGGACAGAACUUGAUACAUGUGACCACGUGACUGCCACAAAAAGUAAUGUCUGAAUAUUUACUCAGUAAAACAGCAAACUCCCUGCUACAAGAGAUUCUCCUUUCUUUUUCCUUUACAUGGGCGGAUGAAAGUGUUUCAAAUGAGUACUCAUAGACAAUUUAAACUACAAAUAAUGACAUGUGUCAGUUUAAAAAAUGGGACUAUUCAAGUUCCUUAGCACCAUUUGAUGAUUUAUUAGCAGUCUCUUUCAAUUUCACCUUUUCUGCACCAAGUGACUUCAAAAUCAAAAGUACCAGCAUGCAUCAAUCUAUAAUAUUCACAGUAAAGAUAUAUUAGCAAUUAUAAUUAGUAAUUCCAUGUGUUAUUAGUUCAUAGGGGUGAAUAUAUUGUUAUCAAAGGGUGAUUAAAAAAAUGUAAAUCACGGUUACAAUUAUAGAUUCAUAUCACAUCCUCCGAAACAGAAAUAAAAGCAAAAGCUUUAUUUUAUUUCUUCUAUUUUAUCAUUUACUAAUGCUAAGUUCCAUUUCUACCAGCUGCACCUGGUUACCACUGAAGACAUUUUGUUGCCCUCCAUCCCUUCACAGCUCAUUAGCUGAAAACAGGGAGCAACUCUGGGGUCAGGAGUAGUCUGUGUGCCUCGCACAGGAAGAAAGCCGAGACUGGAUCAGGGUCCCAUGGGGUCCCUGGGUCUAUUUAAAGGCCGCUGUAGUCUCUAGGCAGGCAGCUCUACCAUGUGCUCCAAAAGAGAGUUUUCUUUCUGGUGGAAACACUAGGAGCUAUACAAAGUAGUCUCAGUGGCCAUCACUUGGGUUAUCAACAGGCAUAUGCCAGGAAUUAAAACAAUUCCAUGAAAGCAGAAUUUUCUGGCAAACUGUUGUCACAGUGUCUGCCUAGUUCUCAAGGAGCUUUUUUGAGGAACAUUGUGGAAGCUGUGUGAAUACGCCAAUGAUGCAGUGAUACCAUCUGUUGUUCUGGAGUUGCACUAAUGGCAGCAUCCACUGGCUCCUGAAUACUUUUGUGCUUCAGGCUACCAGUUGUCUUAGACUGUGUUACAGUACAUGGUAAAGUUGCACCCUCAUUUUCAAAUUCGAGUGUGCUUGGGUUUGGUCUCUACAAGAAAUAGCUCCCAACAGGUCAGAUUUGCUAUAGAUUGCUUGUGUUGUGCAGCUUUGUUCAAUUUUCUGUGUAUUAUAGGAGACCACAAAGGUAUUUUAUAAACGUAUGAGUUGAGAAGAUGGUUGCAUUAUGCAAUAAAAAAAAUAUUUAGUAAAACUGCUAUAUAUGGCCAUAUAUAUAGCCAAGACUGCUAUAAUGCCCCAUUCCAUCCCCUUUUUUGGUGUGUUUUCUUUGAAAAUAGCAUCUACAUUUUCAUUAACUUGACUAUAUUCAGGUACUUGAUAGGAAGACAAAGCCACAGACAGCAACUGUUCCCCAGGAAACAAACAGAGAACAUUAUAUAGAUCUUACACUUUUUAUAGAAAUACAGUCGAAGUACUAGGUUGAGGAUUUAGAUAGGUUCUUAAAGUAUAUGGACACUGGAACUAUAAAUCAUAUUCUCCUGUUUUCCCUUUUCCCCACUUUUGAGCUGU